GGGCAACCGAACUUCACAGAGCUCGACAAUGGCCGAUUGCGGUGUGCGGAGACUGGCCACGAAAUGCUCGCAAAGGACAGGGACUCCUACUCUCGGACCAAGCACUGUCGUCAAGGCCUCAUCGAAUUCGCUUUGUGCCAUCAAAAAGUUCCUCUUAACAUGUUCGUGCAGGAUCCUCUCUUCGGUUCGAAGUUAAUAUGCA
This 202-nucleotide unclassified non-coding RNA is filed under the name Hevea brasiliensis (rubber tree). Lineage: Eukaryota; Viridiplantae; Streptophyta; Magnoliopsida; Malpighiales; Euphorbiaceae. The record is from RNAcentral.